RNAcentral lists this ribosomal RNA (253 nucleotides) under uncultured bacterium. Its description in RNAcentral is "partial 16S ribosomal RNA". It matches the Rfam family "Bacterial small subunit ribosomal RNA", at positions 524 to 776 of the family's 1533-position model. The record is from RNAcentral. RNAcentral also lists the same sequence under 1 other name.
UACGAAGGGGGCUAGCGUUGCUCGGAAUUACUGGGCGUAAAGCGCACGUAGGCGGAUUGUUAAGUCGGGGGUGAAAUCCUGGAGCUCAACUCCAGAACUGCCUUCGAAACUGGCGAUCUUGAGUUCGGGAGAGGUGAGUGGAACUGCGAGUGUAGAGGUGAAAUUCGUAGAUAUUCGCAAGAACACCAGUGGCGAAGGCGGCUCACUGGCCCGAUACUGACGCUGAGGUGCGAAAGCGUGGGGAGCAAACAGG